AAAGCGGAGGAAANGNAACUANCAAGGAUUCCCCUAGUAACGGCGAGUGAAGCGGGAAGAGCUCAAAUUUGAAAUCUGGUAGCCUUCGGUUGCCCGAGUUGUAAUCUAGAGAAAUGUUUUCCGUGCCGGCCCAUGUACAAGUCCCUUGGAACAGGGCGUCAUAGAGGGUGAGAAUCCCGUCCUUGACAUGGACCCCCGGUGCUUUGUGAUACAUUUUCAACGAGUCGAGUUGUUUGGGAAUGCAGCUCAAAAUGGGUGGUGAAUUCCAUCUAAAGCUAAAUAUUGGCGAGAGACCGAUAGCGAACAAGUACCGUGAGGGAAAGAUGAAAAGCACUUUGGAAAGAGAGUUAAACAGUACGUGAAAUUGUUGAAAGGGAAACGAUUGAAGUCAGUCAUGCUCUUUGGUAUUUAUAUCAUUGAGUGGGGUCAACAUCAGUUUUGAUCGAUGGAUAAAGGCACUAGGAAUGUAGCACUCUCGGGUGAACUUAUAGCCUAGCGUCAUAUACAUUGAUUGGGACUGAGGAACGCAGCAUGCCUUUAUGGCCGGGAUUCGUCCACGUACAUGCUUAGGAUGUUGACAUAAUGGCUUUAAACGACCCGUCUUGAA
This 607-nucleotide ribosomal RNA is filed under the name Naganishia albidosimilis. RNAcentral's name for it is "eukaryotic LSU rRNA". It matches the Rfam family "Eukaryotic large subunit ribosomal RNA", at positions 47 to 658 of the family's 3401-position model. The record is from RNAcentral. Lineage: Eukaryota; Fungi; Basidiomycota; Tremellomycetes; Filobasidiales; Filobasidiaceae.